CACUGUUGAUUCGCGUUUUUGGUGGUUUCGUCUUCUGCCAUUUCUGAUCCAGAAUUUCCCAUUCUCUUGCUCGCGUGUCGUGUUAUGUGUGGUUCUGAACAAUGAUGGCAGCAAAAUCAGUGAUGUUCGUGUUGGGAAAUUGCCAUGGUUGUUGAAGGUUCGUGUGAUGUGUUUGUGGAUCGUGAAGUCCAAUUUCAUUCCUGGCCAGGAGAAUUCAAUUGAAAUGGUGCUUAUCGAUGAGAAGGGUUCCAAGAUUCAUGCUACUGUCCAAAGGCAUUUGAUUCAUUUGUUUAAAGAUAUUCUUAUUGAAGGCAAGUUUUUCUCGGCUGGUUUCAAAAGUUCAUGUGAUGCGUUUGUGGAUCAUCAAGUCCAAUCUAAUAUCUGGCCAGGACAAUUCAAUUGAAAUGGUGCUUAUCAAUGAGAAGGGCUGCAAGAUUCAUGCUACUGUCCGGAGGCACCUGAUUCAUUUGUUUAAGGGUGUUCUUAAGGGUGCACCUGAUUCAUUACCGGUAGUUGUUAUCCAAUUUGGA
Trifolium pratense (red clover) is the source of this 530-nucleotide RNA transcript. RefSeq lists it as uncharacterized. The record is from RefSeq and is a predicted model, not a curated record. The transcript is spliced from 5 exons. Lineage: Eukaryota; Viridiplantae; Streptophyta; Magnoliopsida; Fabales; Fabaceae.